UUAUAAGGAAAGCGUGGGUCCUCCAUUUCAGCCUUUCUCUCUGCCAGGAUGUGGCUGUGGCAUUUCUAGUCUUGUAAACACUGGUCUCUUUGGGAUCU
Molecule: non-coding RNA, 98 nt
Organism: Procavia capensis (Cape rock hyrax)
Lineage: Eukaryota; Metazoa; Chordata; Mammalia; Hyracoidea; Procaviidae
Source: Rfam